CCUGUGGAGUGUUAUACCAAACGAAAGUAGCCCCGGCAAAAUCGGACACGUAGAAGCAGGAA
Bacillus gaemokensis is the source of this 62-nucleotide non-coding RNA. NCBI's taxonomy places the organism in Bacteria, Bacillati, Bacillota, Bacilli, Caryophanales, Bacillaceae. The record is from Rfam.